AUUGAACGCUGGCGGCAGGCUUAACACAUGCAAGUCGAGCGGGGGAAGGUAGCUUGCUACCGGACCUAGCGGCGGACGGGUGAGUAAUGCUUAGGAAUCUGCCUAUUAGUGGGGGACAACAUCUCGAAAGGGAUGCUAAUACCGUAUACGUCCUACGGGAGAAAGCAGGGGAUCUUCGGACCUUGCGCUAAUAGAUGAGCCUAAGUCGGAUUAGCUAGUUGGUGGGGUAAAGGCCUACCAAGGCGACGAUCUGUAGCGGGUCUGAGAGGAUGAUCCGCCACACUGGGACUGAGACACGGCCCGGACUCCUACGGGAGGCAGCAGUGGGGAAUAUUGGACAAUGGGGGGAACCCUGAUCCAGCCAUGCCGCGUGUGUGAAGAAGGCCUUAUGGUUGUAAAGCACUUUAAGCGAGGAGGAGGCUACUUUAGUUAAUACCUAGAGAUAGUGGACGUUACUCGCAGAAUAAGCACCGGCUAACUCUGUGCCAGCCGCCGCGGUAA
RNAcentral lists this ribosomal RNA (501 nucleotides) under uncultured bacterium. RNAcentral describes it as "partial 16S ribosomal RNA". It matches the Rfam family "Bacterial small subunit ribosomal RNA", at positions 30 to 523 of the family's 1533-position model. The record is from RNAcentral.